GUCUUGGAACGUAUCCCUGGUGGAUAAGGCGGAACUACUGUAAUUACCAGAAAAAUAAAGCCACAGAAUGUAUUCUCAAGCUGAGUAGAAAGAAAAUAUAUUUUUGGCUUCUUCAAAAUAUAGUGACGGUGCCCUGAUGGGGGAUAGGUCACCUGGGAGGGGUGUUGUGGGGUGGGAGGUGGCGUCCCACUGGCUCUGGGCGAAGGCAGACCCGGGGCGGAGAAGAACUUGCUGGUGUGGGUCCGUGAGAAACCGCUUCCUGGCCAUGAUCUUUGUUUUCUCAUGUGUCACAUCUGUACUCCGGGGUUGAUGUGGGGAAGAGGGGGUUAUGGAAGGCUUCUCUGUGCCAGGUUGUCCUUCUCUCUCCGCGGCAACCCGCAGAAGGGCCGCAUUACGGUUUUCACAACGAGGAAAGUGAGGCCAGAGGGGCUCGGCAGCCCUCGCGGGGUUGGCCUGGCUGCCCAGUGAGUGUUCCUCAUCAGACCCCGUGAGAGCUACACUGCCUGUGGGUGAAAUGUACCAGACACACCGCGCGGGCUCAGUGUGAUUCAAGUCGUUGGUUCCUUGCCUCCAAGGGCACGUCACAGAUGGAAGGCCUGGCUGGUAGGCUUCACGGUAGCUCGAUGAAUCCUGGUAGCCACAUUUGUGGACGUGGAAAGACACCCAGAGUCUGUUGUGCUGUGAGAAAAGCUGGCUGGAGGACUGCACGUUGAUGACGAGCCUAUCUGUGCAGAGAUGGGCACGUGUGCAUGUCUAGAGAGACAGAGCAUGAGUGGGAAAGGGACAGAGAGAGGGAGACCCAGAAUCUGAAGACAGGCUCCAGGCUCUGAGUAGCCGUCAGCACAGAGCCCGACGUGGGGCUCGAACUCACGAACCGCGAGAUCAUGACCUGAGCCGAAGUCGGACGCUCAACCGACUGAGCCACCCGGAUGCCCCAGACAAAUGUGUUCUGAUCGGCAUCAGCUGCCGUAGCAACAAUGACAUCUACAUCAACACCGCCACCAUCACCACCAUCUCCGUGAGGAUUGCCUCCUCUUUCAGCCAAGAGACUCAGGCCGCCGGGGCAGGAGCAUAAUACCAGACCCAGGGUAAAACACAGCCCACAAGAAUUUCUGCUUUCAGCUCUUCCCAAACCCUGUGGCUGUAUCGUAAGUGACUUGCCCUCUGCCAGCUGCCAACAGGGCUUUUGUCUGCUCGGAGGGGGUGGGGUGGGGCAGGUCGCCGAGAAAAAUAUGCCGUCCACCUAGUACUUCUCAAUCAAUACGGCGUUUAUGCAUGCUUUUGGAUUAGAAUAAGCCAUCCCACUUUUUUUUUUUUUUAAAGCAUUUCUGUUGCAUCAGACCACCAAAGCAUUUCCCCUCUCUUUUUUUGGCCACCAAAUAUUUUUAUGAUUUUCCACAUAAACAGCUAGGGAAAAUGCUAGCAGCCACUCAGGCGGCAGUGGCAGGCACACUGUCUCCCAUGAGAGUAGGGGAUUAAAAAAAAAAAAAGACAAAAACGCAACAACAACAAGACCAAUGCCUAGGGGGUGGGGGGGUGGCAAGGGAGAGGUAGUUGGUCUAAGAUACAAGGAUUUCUAUGAAUUCUUCUUGGGAAUUCUGGGAUAAUAAACUAGCAGUCACCCUGUGGCUUCAGGCAGUGAUGCUCUCACUUUUGAAAGAGUGAAAUAUUUGCAGAUGGAAUUAGGCAUUGGUGAGGUCAGGAGGUGGGUGGGAGCGACCCCACCCAUCUGAGACCUGCCUCCUUCUGGUCCCCUCUCUUCCCAGCCUGACUUUGUGCCCCUCCCCCUCCCCUCACUAAGCGAGAAUCACCGUAAGGUUGGGGGACCUGCCUCCUGAAGGAGACUGGGUGCAGAUGGCCACAAGCUCAUGGUCUCUGGAAGACAGAAACUGGCUACCCGGGGCUAAUGCCUUCCUUCUCAAAAGCCGAGGACUGGCCGACAGGGCCUCUGAGGAGGUUGAGGGGCACAUGGCUAAAGGCAUAUCCUCAGCCCUGAAAAAUCCAGAUCAAGGAGACAUGGUGUCACCUCAGCAUGGGCCACUAGACUGGAUGACUGGGCACUCGGCAGGCAUGUGGUCACGAAGCAAACCAUCUCACCCCAUGAAGAAGUGACGAUCCUUUAGUAUUCGAAGGUUUGCAAACGGAAGACAGAAAGAAACCAAUGCAGACCAAUGGUUGAGAGAACUGGCUUUCCAAUUGGAUUGCUUGGGUCCCAAUCCUAAUUCUGCCGCCUAUUGACUGUGCAAUGUGGGAUCCUCCAAAAGCCUCAGUUCCUCCAACUCUGAAAUAGAGGAGAAGAACCUAUUCUGUGGGGUUGCUUAUGAGGAUUAAGUGAAAUAAUGCAUGCAGAGUUCCUAGUACAAAAUAAGACCCGAAUAACAUUUGCCGUCACCCUUGGUGGCAUCCUCAUUGUCGUUGUUUUUAUUAUUGAUGGUUCUGCAUGGCCCCAGAGAACAGAGGCAGGAACAAUGGGUGGGAACUGCAGGGUGGCUGCUAGUGGUUAGACUCCAGAAAGAACAGUCCAUUAGAACUGCAGAGAAAGGGAAUAGGAAGAAGGGAGGGUCGAGAGAAGAGGCGAAGGAAGGACAUAAUGGGGGAGGGAGGCGGGAGGGGGCUCACGCUCUUGGACUGUAGUGGACAAUUCUGCAAAGGACAGUGAUAAGCCUGAUGGAGGCAGGAGGUGAACCCAACUCCAGCCGGGGCUUAACCCCAGUCUGUGUUGGGGUGUCCAAGGGAGCAAAGAAUAGAGAAGCUUCCGCAGACACUGAUCACUGAGAACAGAGGUCUCCUUCCCCUCCCUUCUCCCCACGGUGGCCGGACCCCUCCCCAAGGCUGGCCCACAAGGUCAGUGAAGAAAUGAGGUCUUGACAUUCUUGAAGGUCUAGGGUUGGUGUUUGGCCUGUGUUCAAGGAGGGCUUCCAGUCCAAACAGGCUGCUUAGGAAACUGAGCCUGGCGUGACUGCGGGGGAGAGCCCCGCCCAACCAGCAGCAGCCUGCAAGGGCUGGGGGUCUUCUAGAAGCAGGCAUCCUUCUUCUUCCUUCUCCCUCAUCUCUCCCAAGCUACAUGGCUGAUUCUCAUUCCGUCCCUUCCCUCCUCUCGGCCUGUGCCAUCAUGGCCUUUGGCCCAACCUUAUCUUCUUUCCCCUGUAUGCAGCUCUGCUCCCAGCCUGGUGGAUGGCACUGGGGGGGACUGGCUGCGAGCUGGAGCCCCAGACGCCUAUGCCAACCUUGACCUCUUCAGCCCAGGACCUCUUCACUGAGUGAUCUGCCCCCUGCAGCCUCGGGUUCUUUAUUUGUAAAAUAGGGUUUCCACGCAGAUUUGGGGGGAUAAUAGAUGCCCCCAGCACGGUGGAAGCUGUGAUUAUAUUAUUAUUGCCAUAUUGUCAGAUAGGAGGGAGCGAUGGAGCCCGGCCCUCCUUGCAGGCUUAGGAAGAAGACCGCAGCCUGGAAAGACACCACAAA
Molecule: long non-coding RNA, 3462 nt
Organism: Neofelis nebulosa (Clouded leopard)
Lineage: Eukaryota; Metazoa; Chordata; Mammalia; Carnivora; Felidae
Exons: 4
Source: RefSeq, a predicted model, not a curated record